This is a long non-coding RNA of Camelus dromedarius (Arabian camel), 4941 nucleotides long. RefSeq lists it as uncharacterized. The record is from RefSeq and is a predicted model, not a curated record. The transcript has 2 exons. Lineage: Eukaryota; Metazoa; Chordata; Mammalia; Artiodactyla; Camelidae.
CCCCGCCCCUCCCCCGGCGGUUGUGAAAGUGAGCCCAGACCCGGGGCAGUGAAGGGAACUCAGGUGAGAACCUCGGAUUGCGAGGAGGCUUCUGGUUUAGAUAACUGGGUAGAUGGUGGCACCUGUAGUCGCUUAACGGCUGGCUUCGUCUUUGUAUUGAAGGCAAUCAAAAGCAGGGCCCAGCUGCCUUGCUGACCCCGGGCCUCCUAGCACAGGGCAAGGCACGGGAGGAGCCCAAUAGAUAUUUACUGCAGGAACCGUCGCUAGAGGUGAGGAUAACGUGUGUUGGAAGCAGGGACAAGGGAGUGUUCACUUUUGGACAUGCUAGUGAGGUGAUGAGCCAUUAGUAGUCACCUAGGCAGAGGGGGAUGAUGUCCGGCAGACAAGGGUGUGGCACAUGAGCAAUGGGCCUGGGCAAGAUGGUCCAAGGUGCGGCAGGUGUGCGUGGACAGGGACAGGUGAGGGGGAGCUGGAGCCCAGACAGGUGGAGGGACGGCAGAGCCUGGUGUCAUAGAAACAACAGGAGGCUAUCCCAGGAGGAAGUGUCCACUUGAUGGGAGAAUGGGGCCUUCAGUGACUCAGGAGACACCUGGGGAGGGGGAUUUUGGGGACAGUUGCUAGCUGGGAGGAGUGAUGCAGGUAGCAGGGCCCAAAAUAAUAAAGGCAACAGGGGCCAAGAAAUCUCAGGGGAUAGCAGGAGGGAUGACAAACGGGGCGGGGGUUGCGUGUGGAGAGGUGUCCAUUUCACAGUUGCUAAUGGGAAGGUGCUGCAGCAUGGAGGACAGACAUGAAGGAGGGGAGCCAAGGGUGCCAGGCAGAGAAGAGGGGAUGGGUUGGGACCCAGGCAGCCCUGGGACUGUUCUUAGGGUGGGUCCCUCCAUCAGCUGUUUUCUUGCCUAGUUGUGGCAGGCUGACAGCAUUACUGCCUAAAAUGAUUCUCUGUGAGGUAGGAGGGGAGGGGGAAAAGGCUUCAGCCAGCACUUAAGACACAGGGAGACCCCACACUACAGCCAGGUGCUAUUAGGUCCCAUUGGAGUGGCUUCCUCCUACAGGUGCAGGCUGGGAGAAGGCAGAGAACUUUUGGAUUUUGAAAAGUGGCCAUGGACAAGGGGACAAGGCAGUUCAAAUAUGCACAUCACUCAGCUGCUACUCUCAUCACAUUUAAUCCUCACAACACCCCUGUGAGAGGAAUGAAGAAUGGAAAUAAAGACAGGAAAAGAAAUGACCCAGAAAUUCAGUGCAAAGAGAGAUGUUCAUACAGACACUAUCUGUUGGGGACACAGACAAAUCAUCACAGGAGAAGGGACAGAUUUCUAAAAUGAGCUGAGAAUAUGAGGAGGGAGCCUGUGACCAAGACAUCAAGGCCCUGGCCAGCAAAAGUCAGGGCCCCUGCUCCUGGUAGUCACACACAGUCCAACAAUGCAGGGAUGGUGGUGGGCUCAGAGCUGCUGGCUCCCCCUGGACAGCAAAUCAGACAGAUGCAGGGAGGGGGAAGCUGUGCCAGGAUACCUGGGUCACACAUGUUCUCAACUGUGAAAGCUGUCGCCUACUGGAGUGAGGCUCAGUGGGGCUGAGAAGAUCAGGAUGUACGCUUAAGCUUUCCAGGGAAAGUAGGACAGACAUAGGAGGAGACAGAGAAAUAGGUGUCACGCAGUGUGGUAUGAUUGCUUUGAGGCUAAACUUUCCAAAGAGAAGGAUCUGAGUUUUUGUUGUGAUUUAGACAUCUUGAUGGCUCCCAGUGGGCUUCCCUGGAGAAAGAAACUUACCGCCCCAAGUUCUCUCUGAUCCCCAUGCGAUGGCUACCAGGAGGUCUACAGGGAUCCAUCUCCAGUGUCCCCUCCCCUCGCUAGUGCAACAGCAGCCCUCCCUCAGCAAACAUUCACUGCAGCAAGUGCUCUGACACACUCACAGGUUCAAAAAGCCUAAGUUCAUGUCCUCCUCCUCCUCACUGUGGGUGGAUAGGUUUUUCCUCUUCACCUGCUGUUGGGGAACACUGCUCUCCGGGGGGCUCGGGGAACGACACUGUAAACAUGACUUCCUGGCGUGAUGGUGGCAAGGCUGUGUGUUCAAGUUGCUGCCGGGGGACAGCACUGAGGUAGAUCGGGGAGGGUCCCCCAAGACAUCCAUGGAGUUUGUGGGACUUGCGCUGCUGACAGAGGAGUACCCUGAGGUUGUGAUGUCCUUGCCUGGCCCCCUCCUGCUGCUGAGAGGGGGCUCAAGCCCUGGGGUCUGAGGUGUCUGGGUGCCUGGUGCCAACAUGUGCAGGUCCUGGCACCCCUCCUCCUCUGGGCAGGCCUCCUCAUCGCUUGAUUCCUGGCAGCAGUGCUGUUCUGGGUUCAGGUAGACCACGGUGACAUCGAGGACACCGCUGGGAGCCGUUACUGUGGGAGGCGUUGGGGGAGAGGUCGUCAGGUCAGAGCCUGAGCAUCAGGGUGGACCCCCCUGCCGCCCCGGUCAGGAUCCAGGGCAGCCCAGGGUCCAACUCAUGGUCACAUAUCUUGAACUUCGCUGGACAGUCCCCUUUCUUUUGGGUAAGAAAUUGAGGGGGAAGGGCCUCCUUCAUGCUUGGGGUAUCACCCCAUGUGACUUGGGGGACAGGAGGAAGUGACAACUGGCCAUCUAAUCAUUUACUUAAUCCCAAGUGGACACAAAAGGAAUUGGAAAAUCAACAGAAACUGCUUGAACUGGGCUUCCUGUGCAGAUGGCUGACUAAGAACAUGGGGAUAGAGCCUCCCGCAGCUGCCCUGGAGGGUACACGAGGCACAGAGCCCAACAGGGUAGUGGCAAAGCACAUCUUGUACAAUGUUCUACAAAGAUCUUAUGAACUCCAGUCAGGAUCUCUUCCUCUUCCCUGCCCUGGUGAGGUCCUUCCAUCAACACAGCUCCAGUGAGAGAUGGAGAGAGGUUGGGCCUACGUCCCCUCCUCCCUAAGGGUGGUGUUCUAGGGGCUCUGCCUGGACAUAUUCUCCUGCAGGUAAGGCAGGGGGGAGGGGGCCCCUCUGCACAAGCUGUCCCCUGUCACGACCCCUGGUGGCUCUCCAUCCCCAGCACUCACCAUCGCCUUCCUUCUCGCCCUCACUCUCCUGGUCGCCCUCGUAGCCAGAGCAGUAGUCCAGGCUCCAGUCCAGGAAACUGCCCAGCAGCGUCUCCUCCUGGCUCGACAGCUCUGCAGUAGGAGUGGUGACAAAGCUGCCCCUGUCCUCCUGGAGGCUGUUCUCCCGUUUCCUGUAGGGGGGGAGAGCCAGGAACCUGUCAUAGGCAGCCGUGUUGGGAGGCCCAGUCUGACUCCUGGCACCUGCCCACCCUGCCCCCACGUGUUGUGAGCAAGGGUGUCAUGGCCCUCAGAAGCUCAUGGCACAGAUUGGCAGAGGCAGGUCCAGGAGUACAGUGAGGGUCCUGCUCAUCUGGACUUUGUAGGAUCAAUAGGAGUUCUUCAGGUGGGGCGGGGACGUUAUUCCAGGCAGUAGAUCCAGGACAAUGAGAGGACAGACAGGUUAAAUGGGAUACAUACGGGAGACGAGGGGAACAAGAAAGUACUGAGGACCUUAGUCAGGGUACCGCUGGAGUGACGGCAGCACGGUGGGCAGAAGGGCCCAGGGCGGCUCGUGCCUGGCAUGCGGCAGGGCCAGAGCCUGAGUGGGCCCAGUCUGGGCUCAAGACUGUCUUCCCUCAAAGGGAAUCAGGUUAAGGCAGGAGAGCCAGGCUGGAGAAGGCAGAUGGGAUUGCAGACAGGGGAUUAGGUCCACGGGCCUGAGGUCAACCCUGGCUUCAGUUUUCUCAGCAUCUGCUCUUCUCCAUGCUUUGCUUAAGGAGCCCCGUGUAAAGGGAGCCCCUCAGAUGGCUGCGGGGUCACCAGGGAACCCAGGCCCAGCACAGAGGAGCUAACGCUGCAUCUCGCCAUUAUGGACCUGGGGCUUACUAACCGCUUGGUUCUCCUUCCGGAGGGAGAGCUGAGGAAAGCGUGAAUUUCCCCCGCGCUGAGGAAAGAUGCAGGUUCCGGGCUCUCCUGUUUCACUCCAAGAGCUGCACACAACUGGCCGUAGCUCAGCACCUGAGAGGAAGCUGUGGUCAGAGGGAGGGAAGAGGCCCCGAGGGGCAGGCUGGCACCACUGCCCCCCGCCCCAGCACCCCAUCAGCAGCCUGAGUGGCACCUCUUCCUGACUGAUCUCUCCGUAGCGCCUGUCCUCGAAUCGCUGCUUCACGGCAGUAAGAGAGACUUGCCUGUAGUCCUUGGGGACAUCAUCGUGGAAGCUGCCAACAGAGGGACAUGUGAGUGGCAGUGGGUGGCAGGCAGCACCAGCAUGUCCACUCCAAGAGGCUCAUUUUUUGCUUCCACUCACUGAAGUGAAAGAGGACAAGACAUUUUGAAAAACAGCCCAGCACUGGGAGUAAAAUCCAGCAUUGCUGUGGUCGAUGGUCUGUCAGUUCCUCAGUUAAACGCAGUCACCAUGACCCAGCACUCCCACUCCCAGGUGCAACCCCUAGAGAAAUGUGAAUGGAAGUCCACACAGAAACCAGACAGAAAUGUUCACUGCAGCAUCAUUCCCAACAGCCAGAAGGUGGAAAAAAACCCACACGUCCAUCAAUGCAGGAACAAAUAAACAAAAUGCGGUCCCUCCAUCCAGUGGAUAUUUAGUGCAGAUGAGAACAUUAUGUAGGUAAAAGAGGCCAGUCACAAAAGGCCACGUAUUGCAUGAUUCCAUUUCUACGAAAUGUCCAGAACAGGCAAGCCACAGAGCUAGGAAGUAGUAAGUGUUUGCUGGGGUGGUUGGAGGGGAAAUAGGGAGGUGAUAGGUAAGGAGUGCGGGGUUUGUUUUGAGAGUGGAGGGAAGUGUUCUAAAACUGAUGGUGGUGAUGGCUGCGCAACUCUAUAUACUAAGAGCCUGUUGAAUUGUACACUUAAAAGUUUUUGUUUAUAAAUAAAUACUUGUUUCCAAUUUA